Molecule: ribosomal RNA, 240 nt
Filed under: Triticum aestivum (bread wheat)
Lineage: Eukaryota; Viridiplantae; Streptophyta; Magnoliopsida; Poales; Poaceae
Description: partial small subunit ribosomal RNA
Source: RNAcentral
AUGUGGGAGUGGAUCAGUCAGACAACUUUGCUGCCAGAUCAGGACAAUAGAAUCUCCUGGAACCUGACCAUAAAUGGAGCCUAGUCUUCUACAUCGGCCUUUGUAACAUAGUUCUAUGGCUCACACCCGAGAUUUGACUCUUCAAAGGUUUGGUCUGCUCAUGCGAAGCCCAAGUGCAAAUUCUUCGUGUGGCUGGUCAUGCAUGGUAGAAUUAUCACUGCAGACAUGCUAGCUAUAUGA